UGCUGCCUGUCUGCUGCUGGCCGCCUGUAUGGUUGGUUCUCCAUUUGUUUGCCCUUUCUCUAGCAACCGAUAUGCACAGCCUGCGGUGGGCUCAUCGCCGUCCCAGCCCCCUUGUGUCCGUAGGCGGGGAGCCUUGCAGAGACGCCCUCGCGCACAGAUUCUGGGAGAAGUCCGAUUUCUCUUGGCCAGGCCCCAAGGCUGGUUUUGCAGCGGUCAGCUCGACUCCAAGGAGCCUUGGACCAGGCGAUGGCGCAGCCGCAAAAGCUGGCUGUUUGGUGACCUGAGGGUUGACUCCAGGAACGGAGAGGGAAGGAAGACCACAGAGAAACCCUGACUCACAGAAACCACAUUGACGGGGCCUGACAGAAGCGAGCAGGUGGAAAGGGAUGCAAUCUCGAAACUUUCCUGUUGGUCUUGCAGUUAUUUGUAAUUCCAAGGAAGGCCUGGAUGGACUACGGCCACCCAUGUAUUCUUCCAUCUGCUAAGAACUAUAACCAUUUGCAAUUUUUGGUGGGGAGAUUUUCAUAUCCACCAGACUCCCUCUCCAGUUCUGUCGGUGUCGCUCCCGGCCGGCAGGAAGAACACACGACAAAUUCUGACGGCCUCACGUCCGCCAAGUAAGGCGACCGGGCUCGGCCGCGGCUCCCAACACAGGUCCCCAUCAGAGGGAGACACACUGAAUCCCAGAGGGACUAAGUGACUUCGUGCCCAAGAUCACACAAAUUAACAGAAGCCUUGAGCCUGGAAGGAACAGCAAAGGUUUCCUCUGCUUGAAGGGGUUGUCGUUUAUUGAGCACCUAUGACACAGAAGAUACUGUGGUGGGCACACGCACAUGGGUAUCUCUGAAGCAACACCAGCCUGUCGGGAUGGCCCCCAACUCACCUUUCCAGUUUGAAGGCUGAGAUCGCACUGAGCGCUCACGAGUUUUUCUUGAAAUCAAAUGACAAGUCUGUCUGCCAUGGGGUCCCAUCCCUAUGGUACAGUGGGCACUGUUUUUCAGAGUUGUGUCCUCUUGCAGGGUGGCUUAGCUUGGAACCUGAGGCAAGAAAGACUGAAGGGCCAGAAGUCACUAAUAAGUGAAAUGCACAGCCCCCCAAGUCUCUCCAGAAGUCUCCCCUCCCCCGAAGUCUCCCCCUCUUGGAAAUCUCUCAUCUAACCCUCCCCCUCUUCUCCCAUGAACCCCACAGCUUUGCCUUAGAGCUAGGGGAGGGGAAGACAAGGGCUCCAGGUGACCUGGGCAGCCCAGUCACCCCAGUUUGUGUCCAGGCACCAGUGCUGACACAGUUGCCGCUCAGGACCACCCUGGAGGUGGCUGAGUCCUGAGAGCGAGGCCCAGACCUCCCUGAGCUCUCUGAUGAAACCAGCCUCUGCUUUAGCUGAGCCAGCUUCUCUAGAUUACCGCUCACGGAGACCAAAAUGCCAUUUAAAAUAUGGAAGAUCCUGAUGCUUGGGGUGAGCCUGGGAGUGACGAGGGGAGCUGAGGACCUCAUGUUUUUCUGGUACCGUGGUUCUGGGUUAGGCAGGAGGAGACCUCAAGUUCCAUGGAAUGCACUGCUGGAUCUGGGUGCCUGCGUUCUCCGAGAACUCAUCAGGUCUCUGUCCUUAUCUGAGAAGUUGGCAGUGAUCACAGGUUUGGAAGCCAUCCUGUGUUCCAGAACAGACCCUAGGGCUAUUAAAAUACACUUGGAACAUUAAAAAUAUCCGAAGAAAUGUAAAUUCAACAAAACAAAACAAAACAUUGAGUAGCUUCUGUUUGUCCCCGUGUCCUCUGGUCACCCUUUGCAAUUCUGCUCUCUAUCACAGCAGGGGGAA
Molecule: long non-coding RNA, 1813 nt
Organism: Cavia porcellus (domestic guinea pig)
Lineage: Eukaryota; Metazoa; Chordata; Mammalia; Rodentia; Caviidae
Exons: 4
Source: RefSeq, a predicted model, not a curated record